Molecule: ribosomal RNA, 253 nt
Filed under: uncultured bacterium
Lineage: Bacteria
Description: partial 16S ribosomal RNA
Rfam family: Bacterial small subunit ribosomal RNA
Source: RNAcentral
UACGUAGGGGGCAAGCGUUGUCCGGAAUCAUUGGGCGUAAAGAGCGUGUAGGCGGUCCGGUAAGUCGGUUGUGAAAGUCCAGGGCUCAACCCUGGGAUGCCGGUGGAUACUGUCGGGCUCGAGUCCGGAAGAGGAGUGUGGAAUUCCUGGUGUAGCGGUGAAAUGCGCAGAUAUCAGGAGGAACACCAAUGGCGAAGGCAGCACUCUGGGACGUGACUGACGCUGAGACGCGAAAGCGUGGGGAGCAAACAGG